CAGCCGCCGCGGUAAUACGAGGGGGGCUAGCGUUGUUCGGAAUUACUGGGCGUAAAGCGCACGUAGGCGGAUAUUUAAGUCAGGGGUGAAAUCCCAGAGCUCAACUCUGGAACUGCCUUUGAUACUGGGUAUCUUGAGUAUGGAAGAGGUGAGUGGAAUUGCGAGUGUAGAGGUGAAAUUCGUAGAUAUUCGGAGGAACACCAGUGGCGAAGGCGGCUCACUGGUCCAUUACUGACGCUGAGGUGCGAAAGCGUGGGGAGCAAACAGGAUUAGAGACCCGCGUAGUCCCUGUCUCUUAUAC
RNAcentral lists this ribosomal RNA (301 nucleotides) under uncultured bacterium. RNAcentral describes it as "partial 16S ribosomal RNA". It matches the Rfam family "Bacterial small subunit ribosomal RNA", at positions 509 to 807 of the family's 1533-position model. The record is from RNAcentral.